This 1343-nucleotide ribosomal RNA is filed under the name uncultured bacterium. RNAcentral describes it as "16S ribosomal RNA". It matches the Rfam family "Bacterial small subunit ribosomal RNA", at positions 28 to 1378 of the family's 1533-position model. The record is from RNAcentral.
GACGAACGCUGGCGGCGUGCUUAACACAUGCAAGUCGAACGGAAAGGCCCUGCUUUUGUGGGGUGCUCGAGUGGCGAACGGGUGAGUAACACGUGAGUAACCUGCCCUUGACUUUGGGAUAACUUCAGGAAACUGGGGCUAAUACCGGAUAGGAGCUCCUGCUGCAUGGUGGGGGUUGGAAAGUUUCGGCGGUUGGGGAUGGACUCGCGGCUUAUCAGCUUGUUGGUGGGGUAGUGGCUUACCAAGGCUUUGACGGGUAGCCGGCCUGAGAGGGUGACCGGCCACAUUGGGACUGAGAUACGGCCCAGACUCCUACGGGAGGCAGCAGUGGGGAAUAUUGCACAAUGGGCGGAAGCCUGAUGCAGCAACGCCGCGUGCGGGAUGACGGCCUUCGGGUUGUAAACCGCUUUCGCCUGUGACGAAGCGUGAGUGACGGUAAUGGGUAAAGAAGCACCGGCUAACUACGUGCCAGCAGCCGCGGUGAUACGUAGGGUGCGAGCGUUGUCCGGAUUUAUUGGGCGUAAAGGGCUCGUAGGUGGUUGAUCGCGUCGGAAGUGUAAUCUUGGGGCUUAACCCUGAGCGUGCUUUCGAUACGGGUUGACUUGAGGAAGGUAGGGGAGAAUGGAAUUCCUGGUGGAGCGGUGGAAUGCGCAGAUAUCAGGAGGAACACCAGUGGCGAAGGCGGUUCUCUGGGCCUUUCCUGACGCUGAGGAGCGAAAGCGUGGGGAGCGAACAGGCUUAGAUACCCUGGUAGUCCACGCUGUAAACGGUGGGUACUAGGUGUGGGGUCCAUUCCACGGGUUCCGUGCCGUAGCUAACGCUUUAAGUACCCCGCCUGGGGAGUACGGCCGCAAGGCUAAAACUCAAAGGAAUUGACGGGGCCCCGCACAAGCGGCGGAGCAUGCGGAUUAAUUCGAUGCAACGCGUAGAACCUUACCUGGGUUUGACAUGGAUCGGGAGCGCUCAGAGAUGGGUGUGCCUCUUUUGGGGUCGGUUCACAGGUGGUGCAUGGCUGUCGUCAGCUCGUGUCGUGAGAUGUUGGGUUAAGUCCCGCAACGAGCGCAACCCUUGUUCACUGUUGCCAGCACGUUAUGGUGGGGACUCAGUGGAGACCGCCGGGGUCAACUCGGAGGAAGGUGGGGAUGACGUCAAGUCACCAUGCCCCUUAUGUCCAGGGCUUCACGCAUGCUACAAUGGCUGGUACAGAGAGUGGCGAGCCUGUGAGGGUGAGCGAAUCUCGGAAAGCCGGUCUCAGUUCGGAUUGGGGUCUGCAACUCGACCUCAUGAAGUCGGAGUCGCUAGUAAUCGCAGAUCAGCAACGCUGCGGUGAAUACGUUCCCGGG